This 742-nucleotide ribosomal RNA is filed under the name Bacillus sp. CH448b. RNAcentral's name for it is "bacterial SSU rRNA". It matches the Rfam family "Bacterial small subunit ribosomal RNA", at positions 51 to 774 of the family's 1533-position model. The record is from RNAcentral. Lineage: Bacteria; Bacillati; Bacillota; Bacilli; Caryophanales; Bacillaceae.
AUACUGCAAGUCGAGCGAAUGGAUUAAGAGCUUGCUCUUAUGAAGUUAGCGGCGGACGGGUGAGUAACACGUGGGUAACCUGCCCAUAAGACUGGGAUAACUCCGGGAAACCGGGGCUAAUACCGGAUAACAUUUUGAACCGCAUGGUUCGAAAUUGAAAGGCGGCUUCGGCUGUCACUUAUGGAUGGACCCGCGUCGCAUUAGCUAGUUGGUGAGGUAACGGCUCACCAAGGCAACGAUGCGUAGCCGACCUGAGAGGGUGAUCGGCCACACUGGGACUGAGACACGGCCCAGACUCCUACGGGAGGCAGCAGUAGGGAAUCUUCCGCAAUGGACGAAAGUCUGACGGAGCAACGCCGCGUGAGUGAUGAAGGCUUUCGGGUCGUAAAACUCUGUUGUUAGGGAAGAACAAGUGCUAGUUGAAUAAGCUGGCACCUUGACGGUACCUAACCAGAAAGCCACGGCUAACUACGUGCCAGCAGCCGCGGUAAUACGUAGGUGGCAAGCGUUAUCCGGAAUUAUUGGGCGUAAAGCGCGCGCAGGUGGUUUCUUAAGUCUGAUGUGAAAGCCCACGGCUCAACCGUGGAGGGUCAUUGGAAACUGGGAGACUUGAGUGCAGAAGAGGAAAGUGGAAUUCCAUGUGUAGCGGUGAAAUGCGUAGAGAUAUGGAGGAACACCAGUGGCGAAGGCGACUUUCUGGUCUGUAACUGACACUGAGGCGCGAAAGCGUGGGGAGCAAACA